CAAGCGGUGGAUUAUGUGGUUUAAUUCGAUGAUACGCGAGGAACCUUACCAAGGCUCAAAUGGGAAUUGAUGGGUUUAGAAAUAGACCGUCCUUCGGGCAAUUUUCAAGGUGCUGCAUGGUUGUCGUCAGCUCGUGCCGUGAGGUGUUAGGUUAAGUCCUGCAACGAGCGCAACCCCUGUUACUAGUUGCUACCAUUAAGUUGAGGACUCUAGUAAGACUGCCUACGCAAGUAGAGAGGAAGGUGGGGAUGACGUCAAAUCAUCACGGCCCUUACGCCUUGGGCCACACACGUAAUACAAUGGCCGGUACAGAGGGCAGCUACACAGCGAUGUGAUGCGAAUCUCGAAAGCCGGUCUCAGUUCGGAUUGGAGUCUGCAACUCGACUCUAUGAAGCUGGAAUCGCUAGUAAUCGCGCAUCAGCCAUGGCGCGGUGAAUACGUUCCCGGGCCUUGUACACACC
RNAcentral lists this ribosomal RNA (461 nucleotides) under uncultured bacterium. RNAcentral's name for it is "bacterial SSU rRNA". It matches the Rfam family "Bacterial small subunit ribosomal RNA", at positions 926 to 1391 of the family's 1533-position model. The record is from RNAcentral.